This 399-nucleotide long non-coding RNA is filed under the name Salmo salar (Atlantic salmon). Its description in RNAcentral is "lncRNA (ENSSSAG00000095230.1)". The record is from RNAcentral. Lineage: Eukaryota; Metazoa; Chordata; Actinopteri; Salmoniformes; Salmonidae.
GGUACAGAGUCAAUGUGGAGGCUAUAUACAGGGUGUACCGGUACAGAGUCAAUGUGGAGGCUAUAUACAGGGUGUAACGGUACAGAGUCAAUGUGGAGGCUAUAUACAGGGUGGUACCGGUACAGAGUCAAUGUGGAGGCUAUAUACAGGGUGUUACGGUACAGAGUCAAUGUGGAGGCUAUAUACAGGGGGUACCGGUACAGAGUCAAUGUGGAGGCUAUAUACAGGGGGUACCGGUACAGAGUCAAUGUGGAGGCUAUAUACAGGGUGUUACGGUACAGAGUCAAUGUGGAGGCUAUAUACAGGGGGUACCGGUACAGAGUCAAUGUGGAGGCUAUAUACAGGGGGUACCGGUACAGAGUCAAUGUGGAGGCUAUAUACAGGGGGUACCGGUACAGA